This 1146-nucleotide long non-coding RNA is filed under the name Canis lupus familiaris (dog). Its description in RNAcentral is "lncRNA (ENSCAFG00030017896.1)". The record is from RNAcentral. Lineage: Eukaryota; Metazoa; Chordata; Mammalia; Carnivora; Canidae.
AUGAGGCUUUGCCCUCCGGGGCCGGGAAAGCUCCGCGGAGCAGCCGGGUUGGGGGAGGGGGCGCCGGAGCCGAGGAGCCUCCCCGGCAUCCCGCCCCCCCCGCCGCGGCCCCGGCCCUCGGCCCUCGGCCCCGCGCGGCCGCCCCCGCCCCCGCCCCAGGGUCACGUUCGGGAGGGGGCCGUGGGAGCCGUGACGGGGGCGCCGCGAGCGCGGAGAUGGAGGCGGCGGGCCGGGGUGCGGGGACGGCGGGGCUGCGGCGCGGGCCCCCGGGACGCCGGGGUCAACUCACCCAUCGCCCGCUGGGUCUCAGCGGCGGCGGCAGCAGCGGCGGCGGCGGCUCCGCGGCCCCCGGGGCCCCCGGCGGGGAGAUGCUGGCGUCCGCCGCAGCCUCUCGCCCCAUCCCGGGCUCCGGCGGCGGCUGCGGCGGGCGCCCGGCAUCGCGGGCGGCGCGGCCCCGGCCCGGCCCCGAUCCCCGCCCCCCGCCCCCACCUCCACCCCGUCCCGCGGGCCCGGCGCGGCCGCCUGGCUGCACCCCGGGGCCGCGGCUGGGGGCCGGCGAGCGGACGGGCGCGGGGGAGGGCCCCCUGGAGGCGCGCGGCGGCGGGGGGUGCGGAGGCGAGGCCCGGGCGCGGCGCGCAGAGGUGCCGGCUCCCGCCCGACUCGCCGCUCCGGCCCCCGCCCCGCCCCCACCCCCGCCCCCGCCCCCACCGGAGCCCCCUCCCCUCCGCCGCCCGCCGCCCGCCGCGCUCCGCUCGCCGCGCGGGGCCGGGGGCGCCUCGGGCCGCAGUCUCGGGCCGCCGCCGCUCCGCGCCUCCCGCGUGUGCGAUCAAAUGUGUGUGUGUGCGCGCCCCUGCCUGUGACCGUGCGUGCGCCGGCCCACGGCCCGGUGCGUCCUGGGCGGUUGUGUGUGCGAGGGGAGGCGGGGCGGGUCAGAGAGUGUGUGUCUGUCUGGCGUGUGCACGGUCUGCGCGUCCGCUUCUGUACGUGCGUGGAUGUGUGCGUCUGGGUUGUGCAGUGUGCACGGGACUGUGUGACCUCCAGUCCCGGGGAGUGCAUGGGCGUGCACAGCUGCGCUAUGGUGUGUGCGUGGAGCCGGCGGCUGUGCCUGCGUGUGCCUGGACUGUGCCAGUGUGCACAAAUCUGUGA